Molecule: long non-coding RNA, 5472 nt
Filed under: Homo sapiens (human)
Lineage: Eukaryota; Metazoa; Chordata; Mammalia; Primates; Hominidae
Description: non-protein coding PRKCQ-AS1:41
Source: RNAcentral
ACUUGUCGCCCAGCUGCGAACUGGAGCGGGAGGCGGCGGCCGGAGGGCCCAGGACAGCCCCGGGAGGGCGGCGAGGCGGAGCAGGAGCGCCCCGGCUCCGGCCACAUUCUCAGAGUCAGGAAAAGGGGCGAGAGGCCACAUGUCUCCCUCUCGCCCAACUGAAAACGAAACGGCGCUCCAGCAGAUUGGGUGGAAAGAGCUGGGUCUCUUUUCUCUGUUUUUCACGCUAGAAAGGGCUUGUAAACAUUGUUCCUUUUAAAAUGACCUACCCCAGGCAUUUGUUUGGGCACACUUCUGUCCUGGGGUCAUCGUUCCUAGGUGGCUUCGGACCUGGGACUUUUCCUGUAUCUGCACAUUGUCGUUUUAUACACAAUUGCCAAGGUGGGACUGCUUUCAACUUUACUGUGCUUGAAGCUGCAAAGGUAAUGUUGCCGCCGUGCGUGUCAUUUUAGGACUUUUUAUGCCUUGCGGGUAAUACUAAUGAUGGUCACAGGGAGGAUAAACGGGGUGGUUUCUUUUUCUAUACUCCAUGUAACUAAUUUCUCAUUCAGGUUAGAAAAUUAUAUGUCUGGUUACUAAUAUUCUUACUGAAUGGUUUCCUUGCAAUGAUGACACCAAAUAAUUAAAACGUACUUGAUUAAGACUUUUGUUGCUGUAGUGUACUAAGAUCAGAUUAAUCUGAGAAGUAAAAUAGUAAUUUUUUGUCCUUUUUUCUUUUCUUGUUUUGAGAGAGACAUUAAAAACGAUUAAAACAAAACAAAACAGGCCAGGUGCGGUGGCUCAUGCCUGUAAUGCCAGCACUUUGGGAGGCUGAGGCGGGUGGAUCGCUUGAGGCUGGGAGUUUGAGACCAGCCUGGCCAACAUGGCAAAAUCGUGUCUCUCCUAAAAAUACAAAAAUUAGCUGGGUGUUGUGGCACGUGCCAGUAAUCCCAGCUACUCAGAAGGCUGAGGCAGGAGAAUCGUUUGAACCUGGGAGGAGGAGGUUGCAGUGAGCUGAGAUCUCACCACUGCACUGCAGUCUGGGUGACAGCAAAACUCUGCCUCAAAAAAAAAAAAGGUUUAACAAAAGCCAAAAGUUGAAUUAGCAGCCUUCUGAUCAUGGGAAUGUAGGAUGUCAACUAAAAAGAACCUCAGAGGUUGGGAAGGCAGAUGAAAAACUGAGGCCCCGAAGUGUUUCAAGACUUGAUUAAAUCACUCAGGUCUGCACUAGGAAGCGAGUUAUGAUGAUGCCCCUAAUCUAUAUGAACCCAAAUAAAGCCAAAACACACACACCUUUUAAGGAUAAAACUAUAUUCCAUUAAAAUUAGCCCCGCAUUUGUCAAUAUCUAACAGCAUUGGACUGACCCUCAGGCCAGAGGCUGUAGCUCUUGGAAGAUCCUAGCCAGGAGGUUUGAGAGUGGCCAGUACCUCGGAAGUGCUGGCUCACUCUGACAUCAUCAGAACCUGGCAUACAGUAGGCGCUCAUUGGGUAUUUGCUAUGGAAAUUAGGCAGGAAAGUGCGUCUGUGUCUGGAAACAAAGAGGCAAAGCUUAAGCAGUGAUCCCCAUGCAGAUUCUUUCUGCAAACUACAAAACAGAAGCUUCCCUAGUUCAGACUGCCAUCCAUCUGGCUCUUUCUCCAAUUGUUUUUCAGCGGAUCCUGUUACAGUGCAAAGAAGAAAUGGCAAACGGAUAACAGCUACUGUGCCUAGAAGAUGGUUCUGCCCUGAUGUUUCCUGGAAUAAUGCUGAGGACUGCCUUUCGGGUAGCCGCCCUAUUCAGUUCACUUCAUCUCGGAAAUACCUGACCCCUGCCUUGGAUCCAGCGGCCCUCCUGAGAGCUGAGGAAGGAGGAAAUCCUAUGUGUCUGCUCCCGGAGCUGCCACAACCCAUCUUCCCACAACUCGGAACUUGGAAAAAGGAACCCAGGACACGACUUUGCUUUUCUUUUGGACCUAGUUGGUGAUUAUACUCUGUCUCCCAUGGAGACCACGUCUUGCAUCCUUCCUUCUAUAUGGGAUUUAGGAUAGAAAUUAAAAAGAAAACAUAUUAUUUUGAGUCUUGAUUUGGAGAAAGGUAGUAUUCAGGAGGAAGUAGGCUAUGAUACACAUAGAAAAUUUGAGGACAGUGUUACUUAACAAGGACAUUUCUGUCUCUGCAGAAGUCACAGCUUGGAGGAAACCAGUUUGCACUAUUUGAUGAGGAAUUUGGCCACCAAACCACUGAUACUUUCCCAAAGGUUUGGCAGAAAUUGUUUUUUGAGUGGCUCACCAGAGUACCCAGAAGAAUCAGUAUGGAAUUAGAGGACAGUGGCCUACCCUAAAUAAAGACAUGAGUGAUGUAUAAAGUCUAGUGUCAAUUUAUUCAGAAAAUAUCAAAAUUAUUCUGGGAGCUAUGGGUCAAAGUUGAUAGGCACAAACAAACAAAAACGAAAGGUAUUUUAAAUUCACAGCUUGGAUAAGUAAAAGGGAGAUGUUGUCAUUUCUCUUCUUCAAUCCAACUUUAGAUUUUCAAGCCGGAAAAAGGGUAAUUAGAAGUUAGAAAUUGUUAUUGCCAGAAAAUAGCUCUAAACCCUGAAAAAAAAAAAAAAAAAAAAAAAAACUGACCCUCCUCUUGGGGAGUGAUAAACCUCAAUUACUGUUGAUAGUAAAACUGAUAUCAACUCUUCGAAACCAGUGAAAGGUGAAUGGAAACCUUACCCUAGGUUAAGGUUUAAAAAAUGUUCAUAAUAUAUAUUUGAAAGUUCCAUUAUUUAAAAUAUUCAUUAGACAUGCUUUGUAAUGUUAAGUUACUUCAAAAAAUCUUACACAAGGGAAGGGAAGUAUGUAUUAUUCCUUCAUUUAAGAGAAAGAUAAUGUGUGAAUAUUAGUUAAUAUUUAUCGUACAUUUACUACCUGUGUCGAAGCGUAGUGUUACACACUUAAUUUCAAUUAUUUAAUUUGAUUCUAACAAUGAAUCCCCUGAGAUGGAUAAUAUCCUCUUCAUUUUACAGAUGAGACAAUUGAGACUUAAAGGUUAAACAAAUGAUUUCCUAAGCUCAUUCAGCUAAUAAACGGUAGGGGACUGCUUGACACCAGUCCAGUUGACCCUCAAAUCCAUGAUUUCUGCCACCAUAUUCACAGAAACAAGACAAGAGCUGAAAAUAUAGCCUGACUCUUGAAACAGUCAAAGAAUUGUGUAUGUUUAUGAAAGUUCUGAUUAAUAAGAUAUUCUGAGGACAAAAGACAAGGCAUGGGUAGAGGGGCAAUGUGUAGAUUAGAAUGUAUCACAAUGCCCACUAAAUAGUAAAACCAUAGAAAAUGAAAUUUAAUCCUUACUGUGUAGAAUAUUUAGAGUAGAUUGUUUUUUCCUCGGUGUCAAUUACUAUUACAACUAUCAAAGAAUGAAAUUAAACAAGAAACGGUUCCUUUGGUUUUUUUUUUUAAAGGUGGGAGUUAUAAAAACAGUAUUUGCCAUCUGGUUUUAGUUAUGGCUGUGGAAAUUCUAUGGGUACAAUUUGUUGUCAUUGUUGUUACCACUACCAAUACAGAGAUGCUAAUUGUAACAUCAGUUUCUAAAUCAGAUAGUGAAUAAUUACAUUUUCAAUGUUUUCUUAACAUAGAUACAAGUUAACAGGAUAUGCUUCUGGCCUGUUUCUGGAUUCUAAGGGUAGAACCAGCAUAAAACUAGUCAGUCCAAGUAUUUCUAAAGAUCCACAGACACAGUUCUCCUGGAUUUGGGAAGCCUAGAGAUAUUAGCACAAUAAUUAAGGCCCAACAACUUUUAAAAGCCUUUCCACUGCACAGUGAAAGAAAACCACAAACUCCUUGUUUAAUAAGUGGGAUCACGUGCUUUUAACACGAGGAAAAGGUCAAUCUGAAGCAACUGAUAUGGAACUGCCAGAGUAGGAGUUGAAAAUCUUCCUAAACUGCUGGAGGAUACACCUCUGAUAGCUUGAGACAAAUAUCCUCUUGAUCAUUGUUUCACCAUAUUUGUCUUUGCUCAUGGAGAACCAUUUUGAUCCGUGGUUUAGCCUCCCAGGUGAUUGAACAAUACCGGUGAUCUGAGGCAGACCCUCUGUGACGGAUAACAGAAAAGAAAAUUGAGGAUCAGAAAAUACGCACAAUUUGCAAAAACCAUGGGAAAGAAUAUUGAUUGAACAUCUACUCAAGAACUGCAAAACAGAGAUUACCUGACCUAAAGAUGAAUCCAGGAUUCGGUGGUGCCUGUUCCAGGAACCUUUAGUGUGAAGGAUCCUCCAGGAGUCCAUUCUCAAUUUUCUGUGCAAAUUGGGGAAGGCUGUUGAUAAUCGGUGGAUGCUAUAGUGCCCAUGGAAAGACUCUAGUCUGAAGAUACCAGUCUCUCCCUCCCAAGAUCACCUCCCCUGACCAACCUUCUGCACUCCUGACAGAUACAAGGGAGCAAGCAAGUUGCACCCAACCUAAUAGUAAAUUGCAGGGACAUUUCCAUUCUAAGGAAGGAAUUUUUGUGUGUGUUGCAACUCAGCUUCUGCUCUGGCAUUUUGCUGUGCAUUUAUAUUGCCAAUCAUGUUGGAGAGUCCAUGUGGUGAUUUCUGAAAACGAGAUGUGAGAAAGAAGAGGAUAAUUUAAGUCUAGACCUACAGAUUGUGCUGAUAAAGUGAUGAAGAACUACAAUCUUCUUAGUCAUUUCAUUGUAUAAGUGCAAUAAAGGAUUUUGUGUCUUUCCUGGCAAACAACUUGUGACCACAGUGAUGGCUCCAGCAGAAUGGAAAAGACCCUUUACCUCACAUCUCAGAAGUAAAGAUGCUGAUUAUUUGACAUCGCCAUUGGAAUCUCAAAACAGUGUAAAGCAUUUGCUAAAAAGAGUCACUUUCUGAGAAAUGACUCAGAAUUCGACUUACGUACUAGCAGAACUUAUUGCCCAUAAAAGGAAAGGCCACACUUUUUGUGAAAACUUAAUAAUCCCUAGGAUGUAAAAUUAUACUGAGUUAAAUCCUAGUCCCAUUUUUAGUACAAGAAACUGGAAAAAAAUAAUCCACUCUCAAAUGGUAAGACAAAUUGAGAUAUUGCUGAAAAGCCUCUUGACCCUGAAAAGUUCUGAAUAAUAAACUGAUAAAAGCAGCAGCAGCAUCUAACUUGACACCAGUCAUGUCAUUUGUAAGUAAGGUUGGUAAAUAGUAAUGAAAUUCAAGCAAUAUUUUCAGCUAUGAAGAGCUGCUCAAACCAAGCAAAGGCCAAGAUCUACUUUAAAUUUUGUCUACGUAUCUUUAAACAAGGCAUCUGUCUUGGGGGCAUUGUGUUAGCAUCUGUACCGGUAACACCUCAUCCAGGGUUGGCUUGAUAAGAGGCUUCACAUUUUUUGUAGAAUAAGAAAAAAACCUGGCAUUGUCACAACACACUGAUUUGUUCAUGCAGUAGUGCUUGGGGUCAAAAACUCUUGGAAUGACCAGGCAGAGUGGCUCACACCUGUAAUCUCUGCACUUUGGGAGGUCAAGGUGGGCGGAUCACUUGAGGUAAGGAGUUCAAGACCAGCCU